UCAAGAAUGGAUGUGGAAACUUUCAUUUGACGCUAAUUAAAGAUGGCACAAAUAUAUGAAAUAUUCUGACAAGAGACUUCUCCCAGUCCCACGAGUUAACAGUUGGAGGAAGAAGCGAGGGGCUACGUCAAGGCCAAAGCCAACAGCGAGCAUGAUAACUCAGCGUUGAUUAUAGAGUGAGGACUGCGUCACAUAGACCACACGGGCUCAACAUGUUGCUGUUUCUAGAAGCUUGCUGAACUACAAACCUGCUUCCACUCAUGGGGUUUGAUUUUACCUGAUUCAGGAGGCUGUUAAAUGUGCACGAUCAUGGAGUCAUUCAUCACACGCUCACUGUGCGCCGGUCCCAGUCCCAGUAUGCAGUUCCAGGUGCACCCUUGCUGCACACAAAUCAGGGAAUGGUCACAACUACAUGUGAUUCAGAACGGUCUGGAUGUCAUAUAGAAUAUAACAAAGGCAAAGCUGAAGAGAACUGGUGGAAAGAGCUCUGCUGUAUGUUCACGUUGUUCAUCGGACUGAAAUGUGGGUACGGAUAGUUUUGUAAGAGACUUACAGUAUAGUUGUAUAAGAGAUCUAACAUAUGUAAUGUAUAACCGAAUCAUAAAGAAUUUAACUGUUCUAGUUCAGAUUCCGGU
Molecule: long non-coding RNA, 635 nt
Organism: Cyprinus carpio carpio
Lineage: Eukaryota; Metazoa; Chordata; Actinopteri; Cypriniformes; Cyprinidae
Source: Ensembl